GGUUGUAGCUCAGUGGCAGAGCACUGGCCUUCUAGUGUGUGUGAGGCCCUGGGUUCGAUUGUCAGCACCACCU
This 73-nucleotide transfer RNA is filed under the name Marmota monax (woodchuck). Its description in RNAcentral is "tRNA.Arg". Lineage: Eukaryota; Metazoa; Chordata; Mammalia; Rodentia; Sciuridae. The record is from RNAcentral.